Molecule: ribosomal RNA, 497 nt
Filed under: uncultured bacterium
Lineage: Bacteria
Description: partial 16S ribosomal RNA
Rfam family: Bacterial small subunit ribosomal RNA
Source: RNAcentral
GACGAACGCUGGCGGCGUGCCUAAUACAUGCAAGUUGAGCGCUGAAGGUUGGUACUUGUACCAACUGGAUGAGCAGCGAACGGGUGAGUAACGCGUGGGGAAUCUGCCUUUGAGCGGGGGACAACAUUUGGAAACGAAUGCUAAUACCGCAUAAAAACUUUAAACACAAGUUUUAAGUUUGAAAGAUGCAAUUGCAUCACUCAAAGAUGAUCCCGCGUUGUAUUAGCUAGUUGGUGAGGUAAAGGCUCACCAAGGCGAUGAUACAUAGCCGACCUGAGAGGGUGAUCGGCCACAUUGAGACUGAGACACGGCCCAAACUCCUACGGGAGGCAGCAGUAGGGAAUCUUCGGCAAGGGACGAAAGUCUGACCGAGCAACGCCGCGUGAGUGAAGAAGGUUUUCGGAUCGUAAAACUCUGUUGGUAGAGAAGAACGUUGGUGAGAGUGGAAAGCUCAUCAAGUGACGGUAACUACCCAGAAAGGGACGGCUAACUACGUG